This 148-nucleotide ribosomal RNA is filed under the name Salmonella enterica subsp. arizonae serovar 18:z4,z23:- str. CVM N25373. RNAcentral's name for it is "partial 23S ribosomal RNA". It matches the Rfam family "Bacterial large subunit ribosomal RNA", at positions 2795 to 2925 of the family's 2925-position model. Lineage: Bacteria; Pseudomonadati; Pseudomonadota; Gammaproteobacteria; Enterobacterales; Enterobacteriaceae. The record is from RNAcentral.
UGCCCCGAGAUGAGUUCUCCCUGAGACUACAAGUCUCCUGAAGGAACGUUGAAGACGACGACGUUGAUAGGCCGGGUGUGUAAGCGCAGCGAUGCGUUGAGCUAACCGGUACUAAUGAACCGUGAGGCUUAACCUUACAACGCCGAAG